GGGGAAUAUUGGACAAUGGGGGGAACCCUGAUCCAGCCAUGCCGCGUGUGUGAAGAAGGCCUUAUGGUUGUAAAGCACUUUAAGCGAGGAGGAGGCUCUUUUGGUUAAUACCCAAGAUGAGUGGACGUUACUGGCAGAAUACGCACCGGCUAACUAUGUGCCAGCAGCCGCGGUAAUACAGAGGGUGCGAGCGUUAAUCGGAUUUACUGGGCGUAAAGCGUGCGUAGGCGGCUUUUUAAGUCGGAUGUGAAAUCCCCGAGCUUAACUUGGGAAUUGCAUUCGAUACUGGGAAGCUAGAGUAUGGGAGAGGAUGGUAGAAUUCCAGGUGUAGCGGUGAAAUGCGUAGAGAUGUGGAGGAACACCAAUGGCGAAGGCAGCCCCCUGGGUCGAUACUGACGCUCAUGCACGAAAGCGUGGGGAGCAAACA
This 427-nucleotide ribosomal RNA is filed under the name uncultured Acinetobacter sp. RNAcentral's name for it is "bacterial SSU rRNA". It matches the Rfam family "Bacterial small subunit ribosomal RNA", at positions 356 to 774 of the family's 1533-position model. The record is from RNAcentral. Lineage: Bacteria; Pseudomonadati; Pseudomonadota; Gammaproteobacteria; Moraxellales; Moraxellaceae.